AAUAAAAUGAGCCAACAUUUACAUGCGGUGUUCGGUUUCCUUAGUAUUACCUGGUAUUACUGCGUGGAUGUUUUCAUCGAGUCAUUUCCGAGAUCAUCGCAGGAGUUUGUCGGAUAAACCGCAGACCGACUUUUCUCUAAAAACCUGUCUUCCGGAUUCUAGUGGUUUGAAAACGUCAAGAUCUGUUGAAAUUAGAAAAAGUGAUUUUUGACAAAAGCCAAUGCUUUUCUGAUAUCACCAAAAUUCAUGAAAAGUAAUAGUUUUACCUCAUAAACAUCAUCGAAUUUUACAUGCAAAAGUAUACCUGUACGUACCUUUUAUCUUAAAAUAUAUCUAUAACUGUUAAGUUGUUGGGAAUGAUUCGAGGACUUGUGAUAGUUUUUGGCGAAAAUCAGCGAGGUAAAUUGAUAAAAACAUUUUAUAUUAAUAAUAAUUUAUAAACUGUUUUAUUACCAUUAAUCAUCAAAAAAUAUAUCAUGUAUAUACUAGCUGUAUACUGCGGAUAAUUCUCUCCCGCUUUUUGUAUCGCAGGUACAACGUGUGAUCGUCGGGAUUGCCGCAUCGCAAAUCCUCAGAACUAUAGCCUGCGUAUUUCGUAGAUGAGACCCUAUUUGAAAAUUGUAUACCAGCAAAUCUGAGCUGUUUGUUUACUGUUUAUAAACGGAUCUUGAAUCGA
Molecule: long non-coding RNA, 676 nt
Filed under: Neodiprion pinetum (white pine sawfly)
Lineage: Eukaryota; Metazoa; Arthropoda; Insecta; Hymenoptera; Diprionidae
Description: uncharacterized LOC124218605
Source: RNAcentral